This 2730-nucleotide long non-coding RNA is filed under the name Rattus norvegicus (Norway rat). RNAcentral describes it as "long non-coding RNA NONRATT014041". The record is from RNAcentral. Lineage: Eukaryota; Metazoa; Chordata; Mammalia; Rodentia; Muridae.
GUUUGUCAUGAGGACUUUCCAUUACUCUGGGGAACUAAAUUUAUCUGAUUCAGUCCCAAGGUGCAGUGUGUACCAAACUACACUGUUACAAAGACUCCCCAGUAUUUUUUCUGAUGAGUAUAUUUUAUAACUCUCUAGGCCUUACUUUAUAAGUCAAGACAUUAAACAUUUGGGAAACCAUUAAGAAUAGGUUAGCAGAGAAACCAUUGGGAUUGGUAUAAAAAGUCUGUCUACAACUCAUGGCAGUAUUUUGCUUCGUGUAAUGGGAUAGUGAUUGUUCGCACUGCUGUGAAAUUGCUUCUUACUGAGUGAGCCAUGACAGAAUGACAUGAGAUUACAGAGUUACACUUGUGGGAAUCUGAGGUGGUGUAUGCAUAAUGAUAAAAAUCAUGAUUUUAGAAAGCAGCAAAGCUUUUCUAAGUAUUUUAGAAUAGGCUGGGUGUGGUGGUACAUGCCUGUAAUCCCGGCACUUGGGUGCCUAAAGCUGGAGGACCAGGACUCUGUAGCUGAGAUACUUAGCAAGUCCCUACCUCAAAAAUAAUAGAAACAAAGAAUAGUCUGAAUCAACUGGAUUAUAGAGGUCAGGACAGGGUUUGUCAGCCUAAGGAAAACAGCAACUUUAAACUUUAUACUGCCUGUGCAGUUAGGAUGAAAUUAUGGGAGUAACGUUUUAGGACAAAGAUGGUUGAGAGUGGAGGCACAUAUCUUUGAUCCCAGCACUCCGGAGGUGAAGGCAAGCAGAUCUCCCAAGUUCCAGGCCAGCUAUGGGGACAUAGUGAUGCCCUACUUCAACAAAGGACUGGAGAGUUGUUCUUGCAUAGGGCUUGGACUUGGUUCUAAGCACCCACGUGGUGGCUCACAGCCAUCUGUAAUUCCCGUUCCAGAAGAUCUGACACUGACCUUGGGCACCAGGUAUUCAUGUGGUACAUAUACUUACAUGAAGGCAAACAUUCAUUAAAACAAUCUGAAAAAAAAUGGGUAAAGGACUUGGCUGAUUGUGUCAUUGUGGUCGCUAUAGUUGCCUUAUCACAGACUUGUUGGCUGUAGACUCAAUGUAAUGAAAGAAAAGUUACACAAGAGGUAGCCAGUUUAACUUUUUAAUAGGCAGAAAUAAGCUUGAUUAGUUCCUACACUUUUAUGCUGUCUAACACAAGGUAUGUGUCCUGGGUAUUGGGCAAAAGCAAUGUAAAUAUUUUCUUCCCGUUUAGCUUUGACAAUUAGGUCAAGAGUGGUUGAGGAAUUAAACCCAUUUAAGUUUAUUUAGAGUCAUCUGCAAUGUCUAACCAUGCCCAGGCUUGGUAAGCACUAGUCUUCAUGACCAAGAGUGACAACUGUUGUCCUCUGAAAAGCCACUAGUUCCUUGAAUAUUCUUCUCAUCCGGGAGCCAACAGUUUUGCCCUAGUCGUUUAUGUAAGCACAUUCCUACUUAGCAUGGGCUCAUUAAGAGUCUAGCUAGUCCUUCAGACUGGGGAAGGUACACGUGGAGCUACGUUGACUAGGCUCUCUGUACUGUUGGGCCCCCGGAUUCAGGUGGGAAAGUGGAGAGGGGUGAAUGUCCUACCAGAGGUUAAGAGUGCUGUCAGAAGCAGUGCUUGAAGAGUCAAUUCUGAUUGCAACUUCAGCUAUGACUCAAAGUCUUUGAACUGUAAUGCUUGAGCCAGUCAUUCAUACUCCGAGACCUUUGAUUUAAGUUACCUGCUGUUCUAACCAUGGCAGUGGGUGCUGGGAAUCCAGAUUCCUGUCCCUGAAGAGCAGCCAGCAGUCAGUGCUCUUAAAGGCUGAGCCAAGUCUCCAGACCCUCCUGGUUCUUUAAGGUGGUCCAUAAGAUGUUGAGAGUCUAGUGGCUAUUAUCUCUCAAGGGCACCUUACCUGGUUCCUGCCUGAUGAUCUGUCCCAAGCUGUGGCUUUUAUAUGCUCAGUCCUCUUGGCUUUGGUCUGUCUUAUCCAAUGUACCAAUGGAAUCCAAGUUGGCUGCAAGUUUAUGACAGUGACAUAUUUGUGCCUUCAGCUCCCCAGACUUAAGAGCUUUUUACUAAUUCUUAGUGUUUGGAAUGGUAUGUGGGUUGCUGACUGCUGCAGAGAAUUUUCAGUUUUAAAGAAGCUUAGCUUCUGUAGCUUAAUAUUAGAUUUUCCAACACAUUCCACUUGUUUUCUGUCACUUACAUGGGUUAGACUGGACUCACUUGAGUUUGCCUCUGUUUAAAUACAAGCUGGAAAAUUGAUCUGGAGCCAUUAAAUUCACCUGUUAGCUCAUAUAACACAUAUGGCUAUUUUGAGGGGAAAAAGAAAAACCAACCAAAUAUAUCAAGAUUAAGCCAGUUAAGUCCACUUUGUAUUUUAGUGAGGAAUUAAGGCUAGAGCUAAGUUAGAGGAAAUAUAGAAAUUAAACUGCUCCAUCGAGAGAAGAGCAAUCUGUUGAGAAGCAAAACCUUUGGCUAGGGCUGCUGCUCAAUGGGAGAGGCUUGACUAGAAAGCUCUGUGUUCAAUCCAUGUGUCCUCCAAACAGAAAAGUUGGUUAUUAUGCUCAUGUAUGGUAUACAAGCACCAUUUAUAGUUGUGGCUUUGAGAACUUAAACCUGGUCUGUUUAUAGGAUUGUAUACAGAAACUGGAGUUUUGGGUUAUGUUUUUUAUAUUUGUAAAGCAAAAGUUUGAUCAAAAUGAUCAUUGUUCUUUUUAAAAACUUUAUUUCACUGUUAUUUCAAUAAAAACAUUUAAAACUGAAUGACUAA